Long non-coding RNA from Cryptotermes secundus, 2676 nucleotides. RefSeq lists it as uncharacterized. NCBI's taxonomy places the organism in Eukaryota, Metazoa, Arthropoda, Insecta, Blattodea, Kalotermitidae. The transcript has 3 exons. The record is from RefSeq and is a predicted model, not a curated record.
CUUUAAUCAAUGCAGUGUGCGUUUUAUUCCGUGCAAUAGCAACGUGUAUAUAAUAGUUAAAUCUGAAUACGGAAUAUAUCUGUGAUUUGCAGGGAAUUCGCUAUUUCCCCACACAACGUUAUUGUGUUAGUUAGUACUAUGUCUACUAUAGUGACAUAUUUUAGUAUGUGUGGUAUUGAUGCAGCUGUAUUAGGGAAUCAACCGAAAGGAAGAAAGUGGCAAUGCAUGCAGCACGCAGGACUCUUGUUCAUGUGUAAAGAAAUGUGAGCACCGUGUGAAACAAUGUGUAAAUGUGUCCAGUAGGGAACAUUUCUGAACAUGAAUGGCACUAACCCAACCUACGUGAUGUAUAGGAGACGUAGGAAGGAAAGUUGUGGAGGGGUCCCAGUGAUGUGUCAUAGUUAUUUAAGGGGGGGGGGAUGUUAACUUUGGGAGAAUUUAAUAAUGCUCAUGUGUUAAUAAAUUUCAAAAAUUGUUUUAUUUCGAAUAAGGGAAUUUUAGAAAACUGUCGAAAAUGUUCGGGAUUUGAAUACUUUUUGCUGACCAUGGUUCACAUUUCUUCGUGAUGUGUGGAGAAACUGAUCAUAUCUGAGAGAUAUCCUGCAAGAAAUUACGAAUUUGUGAAGGUGAUCUGAUGUAUUAAUUCUUUGUUCCAAGAAGAGAAUUUUGAAAGUUAAAAAUAAUCUUCCAGUUUUACUGCAAACAGCAAUAGUGGAACAUAAUAGUUCGAAAAGUAGUGAAUCUACAGUUCAAGCCCUACUGAAGGAAUUCUCUCUAAACAUAAGUUCCUAGCUAUGUUUAAAAUUAAUGAACACUGACAGAGUUUGACACAUACCGCUAUAAAAUUGCUGUAUCGGCUCCACUGAACAAUUUUGGUCCCAGACUGAGAUAUAUUACAGCAGAAACACUGGUAAAAAUGGAUUUGGAACAAAGGCGUGAGAAAAAAUAUUUGAAGAGUGGAAACUCUUCAUUGUGGAGCAAAGGGCAUUAUUCCUUACAUCCAUAUCACCAAGAAAGCACCAAAGAUUUUACAGGAUAGCUAGUCACUGGUAGGAAGCAGCUGUUACAAAGGAGAUUCUUCAUGACCAACUGUGAAUUUUGACUGUUAACUUACAGUUCAUAACUGAGACCUCCAACUGACAAGCUUCGGUCAGUUGUAGGUCUCAGUUGGUUAAAUUACUCCUGGACUUCACCAUUACAGAUAUUCCUGUCUUCAGUCUCCUCGAAAGCUAUGACCAAUAUUUUUAUUCUCUCCUAGACGUGCACGUCUAUGGAAAUGGGAACUCCUCUUCGACAAAGGAGUUCCCGUUGGCCCUUGCUAUAUGGCCUCAGCACAUACCACAGAGAAAACACCACUUCUAACCAUUCCUUUGUUGUGUAUUAAUUUGUUGCUGCAGAAACAUGUUUACUGUGCCGUUGCCUUGCAACGACAACCUCUUCUUCCACUAUUUUGGCUUUCAACAAUCGGUUCACAAUGACAUACAAUAAACAGGUAUUAGAAUAAAAGAUAAAUAAAAGCAAUCCUGAAGAUUUCUAAAAAAGGGGGGGGAUUAAAUGCACUACAAAACAAGAGAUGCUGUCAGUAAACAUAAAUGAUAACAUAAUAAAAAAUGUUAAACUCACAGUAAACUCUCAAAAUAUUUACUUCUUAACAAUUGUAGAAACAAUGAACAGUGCUGCUAAUAACGGCGAUAUUUUUUGAUAUAAUUACAGGUACUCCUAAAUUUACAUAAGAGUUGUGUUCCAGAAGAAAUUUGCAGAGGGUGUAAUUGCAUAAAUUGAACACACUUUUCCCAUAAGAAUCAAUGAGAAACUCUGAAGUCUGCUGCAGAAAUUCUCAGUAUUCUUGUCCAUACUUAAACUGAUUGUCCUGUGCAGUGCAGUACAUCAGUGAUCCUUAUAUGUUUCGUUGCUCAUACUGUCUGAUUUCUCAUGUAAUAGUAGAGGUUCAGAAAGAUUGUGUGGCCGCACCAAAUUCAACCUUUCCCUCUGCAUUCCUUCACCACUUUCCGUGCAGUCCUAUGCUCUCUCUCUCUCUCCCCAACUCUCAAUUGGGCAGCAAACAAUUUGCAUUACAGUGGAUGCUGUUAAUUUAGUCUUGUCUAAUUAGUUGAUUGGAUUAAAAUUAGAUCACAUUUUUAUGAACUGAUAUACCUGUAGCAUGGAAUACCUCUACUUAGCUAUUAUACUGUGUUAUCUGAGACAUCUGUAUGUGUAUUAUAUUUAUAUUUAUACUGGAAAUAAAAAUUAAUUUACUACUACCAUGCAGUUCUGCAUGCUUGGCUUAGACUUAUGCAAUUUGUAUAUUCUGCAAAUUAAUUUUAUUUUUUUCUAGUCUACAAAACUAACAUCAUUCCUAAUUUUGUUAAUUUGCUAUAUCUAUAUUAUAUUUAAGCAUCCUGUUACACUCUACACAAUAUAUGACAUAAACUCCGUCUUAAGUGUAACAAUUUAAUGUAGUUCUUUCGUCUUCCUUUCUUCUACACUAUACGUUUCGGCCGCAAAUGGCCAUCAACAGGUGUAUACUCUCACGUAGCUGCUGCACUGCAUGUAGUUUAAAAUUUAAAAAUCACUAGUCUUCUCAAUUGUUCAUUUCGGCGUUGCUGACAGGUUUCGAUAUAUCAGAAUCUUCCCCGCUGAUAUCAGUCAGAUAUGUACAAAAUCUCUGUUAUCCUA